AUGGCAGCUCUCAGCCACCUGCUUGAUAACAAGGCCCAGGGUGUUGGGUUCGUUGCCAUGGACGACGCUCACAGGGGCAAGUGGUAUGCCGUGUUCAUUGGUGAGGUUCCAGAGGUUUAUAGUUCAUGGGAAGAAGCCAAUGCACAAGUGGCAUCGUAUAGCAGGAGCAACUAUAGAGUGUUCAAGACUAAGCAGGCAGCAGAACAAGCUUACUUCGCCUGGGUGCGAAAGCACGGAGGCAGCGGUGUCGACAGUGCCAAGGUUGGAGCUGUCAAAGUGGAAGCUGCUAAGGUGGAUCGUCAGUUCGGCCUAAAGCUGAAGAACUUCAUCAUCUUCGCCCAGUUCGUCACCAUUGCUGUGUUGUAG
RNAcentral lists this ribosomal RNA (366 nucleotides) under Triticum aestivum (bread wheat). Its description in RNAcentral is "partial small subunit ribosomal RNA". The record is from RNAcentral. Lineage: Eukaryota; Viridiplantae; Streptophyta; Magnoliopsida; Poales; Poaceae.